RNAcentral lists this ribosomal RNA (594 nucleotides) under Thielavia sp. HYY2(1). RNAcentral's name for it is "eukaryotic LSU rRNA". The stretch from base 216 to 369 matches the Rfam family "5.8S ribosomal RNA". The record is from RNAcentral. Lineage: Eukaryota; Fungi; Ascomycota; Sordariomycetes; Coronophorales; Ceratostomataceae.
GGAAGUAAAAAGUCGUAACAAGGUCUCCGUUGGUGAACCAGCGGAGGGAUCAUUACAGAGUUGCAAGACUCCCUAAACCAUUGUGAACCUACCUUCUACCGUUGCUUCGGCGGGCGGGCCCAGCGCCCCCCCGGCCCCCCGCGGGCGCCCGCCGGAGGAUACCCAAACUCUUGACAUUAGUGGCCUCUCUGAGUAUUCUUUACUGAAUAAGUCAAAACUUUCAACAACGGAUCUCUUGGUUCUGGCAUCGAUGAAGAACGCAGCGAAAUGCGAUAAGUAAUGUGAAUUGCAGAAUUCAGUGAAUCAUCGAAUCUUUGAACGCACAUUGCGCCCGCCAGUAUUCUGGCGGGCAUGCCUGUUCGAGCGUCAUUUCAACCAUCAAGCCCCCGGGCUUGUGUUGGGGACCUGCGGCUGCCCGCAGGCCCUGAAAACCAGUGGCGGGCUCGCUAGUCACACCGAGCGUAGUAGCAUACAUCUCGCUCAGGGCGUGCUGCGGGUUCCGGCCGUUAAACAGCCUCUGCGCUACACCCAAGGUUGACCUCGGAUCAGGUAGGAAGACCCGCUGAACUUAAGCAUAUCAAUAAGCCGGAGGAA